This 23-nucleotide non-coding RNA is filed under the name Arabidopsis thaliana (thale cress). The record is from RNAcentral. Lineage: Eukaryota; Viridiplantae; Streptophyta; Magnoliopsida; Brassicales; Brassicaceae.
GGACCCACAUGUGCCACUUGUUA